GGGGAUUUAGCUCAGUGGUAGAGCGCUUGCCUAGCAAGCACAAGGACCUCGGUUCAGUCCCCA
This 63-nucleotide transfer RNA is filed under the name Rattus norvegicus (Norway rat). It matches the Rfam family "tRNA". Rfam says of the family: Transfer RNA (tRNA) molecules are approximately 80 nucleotides in length. Their secondary structure includes four short double-helical elements and three loops (D, anti-codon, and T loops). Lineage: Eukaryota; Metazoa; Chordata; Mammalia; Rodentia; Muridae. The record is from Rfam by way of RNAcentral.